This 74-nucleotide transfer RNA is filed under the name Candidatus Sungiibacteriota bacterium. RNAcentral describes it as "tRNA-Ala". It matches the Rfam family "tRNA". From Rfam's summary of the family: Transfer RNA (tRNA) molecules are approximately 80 nucleotides in length. Their secondary structure includes four short double-helical elements and three loops (D, anti-codon, and T loops). Further hydrogen bonds mediate the characteristic L-shaped molecular structure. tRNAs have two regions of fundamental functional importance: the anti-codon, which is responsible for specific mRNA codon recognition, and the 3' end, to which the tRNAs corresponding amino acid is attached (by aminoacyl-tRNA synthetases). tRNAs cope with the degeneracy of the genetic code in two manners: having more than one tRNA (with a specific anti-codon) for a particular amino acid; and 'wobble' base-pairing, i.e. permitting non-standard base-pairing at the 3rd anti-codon position. The record is from RNAcentral. Lineage: Bacteria; Candidatus Sungiibacteriota.
GGGGAUAUAGUAAAGUGGCAUUACACCUCAUUCGCAUUGAGGAGGCUCGGGUUCGAUUCCCGAUAUCUCCACCA